UACGGGGGGGGCAAGCGUUGUUGGGAAUUACUGGGCGUAAAGGGCUCGUAGGCGGCCAACUAAGUCCGACGUGAAAUCCCAAGGCUUAACCUUGGAACUGCGUCGGAUACUGGAUGGCUUGAAUUCGGGAGAGGGAUGCAGAAUUCCAGGUGUAGCGGUGAAAUGCGUAGAUAUCUGGAGGAAUACCGGUGGCGAAGGCGGCAUCCUGGACCGACAUUGACGCUGAUGAGCGAAAGCUAGGGGAGCAAACGGG
Molecule: ribosomal RNA, 253 nt
Filed under: uncultured bacterium
Lineage: Bacteria
Description: partial 16S ribosomal RNA
Rfam family: Bacterial small subunit ribosomal RNA
Source: RNAcentral